AGGAUAAAUAAAGCUAACCUGCAAUUAGCAAGCUUUGAUUAACAUCAAAUUAUCUUAA
This 58-nucleotide transfer RNA is filed under the name Lycostomus sp. YXY-2021. RNAcentral describes it as "tRNA-Ala". The record is from RNAcentral. Lineage: Eukaryota; Metazoa; Arthropoda; Insecta; Coleoptera; Lycidae.